UACGGAGGGGGUUAGCGUUGUUCGGAAUUACUGGGCGUAAAGCGCGCGUAGGCGGACCAGAAAGUUGGGGGUGAAAUCCCGGGGCUCAACCCCGGAACGGCCUCUAAAACUCCUGGUCUUGAGUUCGAGAGAGGUGAGUGGAAUUCCGAGUGUAGAGGUGAAAUUCGUAGAUAUUCGGAGGAACACCAGUGGCGAAGGCGGCUCACUGGCUCGAUACUGACGCUGAGGUGCGAAAGUGUGGGGAGCAAACAGG
This 253-nucleotide ribosomal RNA is filed under the name uncultured bacterium. RNAcentral's name for it is "partial 16S ribosomal RNA". It matches the Rfam family "Bacterial small subunit ribosomal RNA", at positions 524 to 776 of the family's 1533-position model. The record is from RNAcentral.